RNAcentral lists this ribosomal RNA (38 nucleotides) under uncultured Tomentella. Its description in RNAcentral is "partial 25S ribosomal RNA". Lineage: Eukaryota; Fungi; Basidiomycota; Agaricomycetes; Thelephorales; Thelephoraceae. The record is from RNAcentral.
UGAUCUCAAAUCAGGUAGGACUACCCGCUGAACUUAAG